CGGCGGACGGGUGAGUAACGCGUGGGUAACCUGCCUCAUACAGGGGGAUAACAGUCAGAAAUGACUGCUAAUACCGCAUGAGACCACGGUACCGCAUGGUACAGUGGUAAAAACUCCGGUGGUAUGAGAUGGACCCGCGUCUGAUUAGGUAGUUGGUGGGGUAACGGCCACCAAGCCGACGAUCAGUAGCCGACCUGAGAGGGUGACCGGCCACAUUGGGACUGAGACACGGCCCAG
Molecule: ribosomal RNA, 237 nt
Filed under: uncultured bacterium
Lineage: Bacteria
Description: partial 16S ribosomal RNA
Rfam family: Bacterial small subunit ribosomal RNA
Source: RNAcentral